Molecule: antisense RNA, 69 nt
Filed under: Streptomyces seoulensis
Lineage: Bacteria; Bacillati; Actinomycetota; Actinomycetes; Kitasatosporales; Streptomycetaceae
Also listed under: 1 other name
Description: ASpks TB sRNA
Rfam family: ASpks TB sRNA
Source: Rfam by way of RNAcentral
CUUGACCGAACCCAGCCGCAGGGGCUCCUCGCGUUCCUGGCCGUAGGUGGCGAGCAGCGCGUUGGCCUC